ACGGAAGCAGCAGUGGGGAAUAUUGGGCAAUGGGGGAAACCCUGAUCCAGCGACGCCGCGUGAGUGAAGAAGUAUUUCGGUAUGUAAAGCUCUAUCAGCAAGGAAGAAAAUGACGGUACUUGACUAAGAAGCUCCGGCUAAAUACGUGCCAGCAGCCGCGGUAAUACGUAUGGAGCAAGCGUUAUCCGGAUUUACUGGGUGUAAAGGGAGCGUAGACGGCAAAGCAAGUCCGAAGUGAAAUCCCGGGGCUCAACCCCGGAACUGCUUUGGAAACUGUUUAGCUAGAGUGCAGGAGAGGUAAGCGGAAUUCCUAGUGUAGCGGUGAAAUGCGUAGAUAUUAGGAGGAACACCAGUGGCGAAGGCGGCUUACUGGACUGUAACUGACGCUCAUGCUCGAAGGUGCGGGUAUCAAACAGGAUUAGAUACCCUGGUA
Molecule: ribosomal RNA, 433 nt
Filed under: uncultured Lachnospiraceae bacterium
Lineage: Bacteria; Bacillati; Bacillota; Clostridia; Lachnospirales; Lachnospiraceae
Description: partial 16S ribosomal RNA
Rfam family: Bacterial small subunit ribosomal RNA
Source: RNAcentral